RNAcentral lists this ribosomal RNA (253 nucleotides) under uncultured bacterium. RNAcentral describes it as "partial 16S ribosomal RNA". It matches the Rfam family "Bacterial small subunit ribosomal RNA", at positions 524 to 776 of the family's 1533-position model. The record is from RNAcentral.
UACGGAGGGGGCAAGCGUUGUUCGGAUUUACUGGGCGUAAAGGGCGCGUAGGCGGUUUAGCAAGUCACUUGUGAAAUCUUUGGGCUUAACUCAAAGCGGCCAAGUGAUACUGCUAGACUAGAGUGCAGAAGGGGCAAUCGGAAUUCUUGGUGUAGCGGUGAAAUGCGUAGAUAUCAAGAGGAACACCUGAGGCGAAGGCGGAUUGCUGGGCUGACACUGACGCUGAGGCGCGAAAGCUAGGGUAGCAAACGGG